RNAcentral lists this non-coding RNA (25 nucleotides) under Cricetulus griseus (Chinese hamster). The record is from RNAcentral. Lineage: Eukaryota; Metazoa; Chordata; Mammalia; Rodentia; Cricetidae.
GUGCGUAGGCUUUUAAACUGUUAUA